RNAcentral lists this long non-coding RNA (432 nucleotides) under Gossypium raimondii (Peruvian cotton). RNAcentral describes it as "long non-coding RNA (GRAI_LNC005542)". The record is from RNAcentral. Lineage: Eukaryota; Viridiplantae; Streptophyta; Magnoliopsida; Malvales; Malvaceae.
AUUACUCUUGUUAUUAAAUAAAUUAAUUUUCACUAUCUUUGUGAUCUUUUGUCAUCAUCCCCAUUAAGGGUGUAAUACCCCUAUCGCUGUAAUAGGCCUAUUUUGACCAGGCCCAAAGCAUACCCAAUUUUAUAAAUAAAAAUAAAAACAAAAAUAAUUAAAAGUCCAUCAGUCCAUAUUACAAGCCUAAAAUCAUACAGACCAAAUACACCCCAGCCCAAUCGCCUUACAAGCCCAAACCAACUAAAUACCCUUGGCCCAAAACUGGAACAAACAGAAACCCUAGGGUUUCUGAGACUUUCAGCGCCGCAGCCAGCAGGUUCAGCCUCCGAGCCGCUCAACGUCAGCCUCUGCCACGCACGCCUCCACGCCACGUGCCUCCGUACACUGUACCUGCAAAGGAAACGAAGACAACGCAGCACACAAAAGAAC